UACGAAGGGGACUAGCGUUGUUCGGAAUCACUGGGCGUAAAGCGCACGUAGGCGGAUUCGUAAGUCAGGGGUGAAAUCCCGGGGCUCAACCUCGGAACUGCCUUUGAUACUGCGGGUCUUGAGUCCGAUAGAGGUGGGUGGAAUUCCUAGUGUAGAGGUGAAAUUCGUAGAUAUUAGGAAGAACACCAGUGGCGAAGGCGGCUCACUGGCCCGGUACUGACGCUGAGGCGCGAAAGCGUGGGGAGCAAACAGG
RNAcentral lists this ribosomal RNA (253 nucleotides) under uncultured bacterium. Its description in RNAcentral is "partial 16S ribosomal RNA". It matches the Rfam family "Bacterial small subunit ribosomal RNA", at positions 524 to 776 of the family's 1533-position model. The record is from RNAcentral.